RNAcentral lists this ribosomal RNA (253 nucleotides) under uncultured bacterium. RNAcentral's name for it is "partial 16S ribosomal RNA". It matches the Rfam family "Bacterial small subunit ribosomal RNA", at positions 524 to 776 of the family's 1533-position model. The record is from RNAcentral.
UACAGAGGUCUCAAGCGUUGUUCGGAUUCAUUGGGCGUAAAGCGCGCGCAGGCGGUCCUUUAAGUCUGAUGUGAAAUCCCGUGGCUUAACCACGGGCGGUCAUUGGAAACUGGGGGACUUGAGUGCAGAAGAGAAGAGCGGAAUUCCACGUGUAGCGGUGAAAUGCGUAGAGAUGUGGAGGAACACCAGUGGCGAAGGCGGCUCUUUGGUCUGUAACUGACGCUGAGGCGCGAAAGCGUGGGGAGCGAACAGG